UGGGGAAUUUUGGACAAUGGGGGCAACCCUGAUCCAGCCAUGCCGCGUGAGUGAAGAAGGCCUUCGGGUUGUAAAGCUCUUUCGGCCGGGAAGAAAUCGCGCCAGCUAAUACCUGGUGUGGAUGACGGUACCGGAAGAAGAAGCACCGGCUAACUACGUGCCAGCAGCCGCGGUAAUACGUAGGGUGCGAGCGUUAAUCGGAAUUACUGGGCGUAAAGCGUGCGCAGGCGGUUUUGUAAGACAGGUGUGAAAUCCCCGGGCUUAACCUGGGAACUGCGCUUGUGACUGCAAGACUUGAGUGCGGCAGAGGGGGUGGAAUUCCACGUGUAGCAGUGAAAUGCGUAGAGAUGUGGAGGAACACCGAUGGCGAAGGCAGCCCCCUGGGUCGACACUGACGCUCAU
Molecule: ribosomal RNA, 402 nt
Filed under: uncultured bacterium
Lineage: Bacteria
Description: bacterial SSU rRNA
Rfam family: Bacterial small subunit ribosomal RNA
Source: RNAcentral